GAUGAACGCUAGCGGCAGGCCUAACACAUGCAAGUCGAGGGGCAGCGAGAUGUAGCAAUACAUUGUCGGCGACCGGCGUAAGGGUGCGUAACACGUGAGUAACUUGCCCGUAACAGGGGGAUAAGCGAUGGAAACGUCGUCUAAUACCCCAUAAUAAUUGUUAUCGCAUGAUGAUGAUUUGAAAAUUCCGAUGGUUACGGAUAGACUCGCGUUACAUUAGCUAGUUGGUGAGGUAACGGCUCACCAAGGCGACGAUGUAUAGGGGUUCUGAGAGGAAGAUCCCCCACACUGGAACUGAGACACGGUCCAGACUCCUACGGGAGGCAGCAGUGAGGAAUAUUGGACAAUGGAGGGAACUCUGAUCCAGCCAUGCCGCGUGAAGGACUAAGGCCCUAUGGGUCGUAAACUUCUUUUGACGCAGAGCAAUAAGAGAUACGAGUAUUUUGAUGAGAGUAUGCGUCGAAUAAGCAUCGGCUAACUCCGUGCCAGCAGCCGCGGUAAUACGGAGGAUGCGAGCGUUAUCCGGAUUUAUUGGGUUUAAAGGGUGCGUAGGCGGUUGUGCAAGUCAGUGGUGAAAUACGAACGCUCAACGUUCGGGCUGCCAUUGAAACUGUACGGCUAGAGUUCGGAUGCCGUGGGAGGAAUGAGUAGUGUAGCGGUGAAAUGCAUAGAUAUUACUCAGAACACCGAUUGCGAAGGCAUCUCACGAAUGCGAAACUGACGCUGAUGCACGAAAGCGUGGGGAUCAAACAGGAUUAGAUACCCUGGUAGUCCACGCUGUAAACGAUGAUAACUAACUGCCGGCGAUAAACGGUCGGUGGCCAAGCGAAAGCGAUAAGUUAUCCACCUGGGGAGUACGACCGCAAGGUUGAAACUCAAAGGAAUUGACGGGGGCCCGCACAAGCGGAGGAACAUGUGGUUUAAUUCGAUGAUACGCGAGGAACCUUACCCAGGCUCGAACGGCAUAUGAAUAUUGCAGAGAUGUGAUAGUCUUCGGACAUAUGUCGAGGUGCUGCAUGGUUGUCGUCAGCUCGUGCCGUGAGGUGUCGGCUUAAGUGCCAUAACGAGCGCAACCCUUGUCGUUAGUUGCCAUCAAGUAAAGUUGGGGACUCUAACGAGACUGCCACCGCAAGGUGUGAGGAAGGGGGGGAUGACGUCAAAUCAGCACGGCCCUUACGUCUGGGGCGACACACGUGUUACAAUGGUAGGUACAGAGGGCAGCUAUUGAGUGAUCAAGUGCAAAUCUCAAAAACCUAUCUCAGUUCGGACUGGAGUCUGCAACCCGACUCCACGAAGCUGGAUUCGCUAGUAAUCGCGCAUCAGCCAUGGCGCGGUGAAUACGUUCCCGGGCCU
Molecule: ribosomal RNA, 1353 nt
Filed under: uncultured bacterium
Lineage: Bacteria
Description: bacterial SSU rRNA
Rfam family: Bacterial small subunit ribosomal RNA
Source: RNAcentral